RNAcentral lists this non-coding RNA (148 nucleotides) under Nomascus leucogenys (northern white-cheeked gibbon). Lineage: Eukaryota; Metazoa; Chordata; Mammalia; Primates; Hylobatidae. The record is from Rfam by way of RNAcentral.
GCCAGGCGUGGUGGGGCACGCCUGUAGUCCCAGCUACUUGGGAGGCUGAGGCAUGAGAAUCGCUUGAACCCAGGAGGUGGAGGUUGCAGUGAGCCGAGAUCUCGCCACUGCACUCCAGCCUGGGUGACACAAUGAGAUUCUGCCUCAA